Phalacrocorax carbo (great cormorant) is the source of this 689-nucleotide non-coding RNA. Lineage: Eukaryota; Metazoa; Chordata; Aves; Suliformes; Phalacrocoracidae. The record is from RefSeq and is a predicted model, not a curated record.
GAGGGAGCGGCCGAGGCGAGCGGGGCGGCGCCUGCGGAACCACCUCGGCAGCGCGGCGCGGCCUGGCCCCUCUCGGCGCCGCCGCCAUCGGGCGACGGGAGGGGAGGGCGCCGGGGCGCCUCCCCGGCAGCCAUGAGGGCUUCCAGCUGAUCUGCGGCACAAGGGUGUGUGAAAGGAUCGCUGUAAAUGGGAGGUCUCGGGUGGCAAAAGAGCUGUCUGGAAGAUACAGCCCUCAGGUAAAGGGUCCUCACCGGUGGCCUUCGUUUAUGAAAACCCCCAAGUUUUUCAGGGAGUGGAAGCAGCCAGAUGAGGCGCCUUCUGGAGGGGAAUACCGCUCCGGUAGCGUGACCUGUGCCUGCGGAGAGGAGAGGCAAAUAGUUCGCAUGUUUUACUGCAGGUGGGGCCUUGCUGGAGAAGCAGUAUAGUUGUCAGAAGAGAACUAAGUUGUUGCUGCUGCUUUGAAGAUCCCCACUUGAGAGACUGGGAAGAUGGAAACUUCCACAACUGAAAUGAAACUACUGGAGAAGUAGUUGUUUUCAUGAUCUGUAUCUAGUAUCAGAUCAGAGAUGGUUGGGAGCAAGUUAUAACAAGAAUUACAUAUACAAUUUGUUAAUACCCUCCCACUGCUUGUUAAAAAUUAUAUAUUUUUAAUUAGACCUAUUUAUUAAACUUAUUUAUCUUUAAACUUG